RNAcentral lists this transfer RNA (73 nucleotides) under Selaginella moellendorffii. It matches the Rfam family "tRNA". From Rfam's summary of the family: Transfer RNA (tRNA) molecules are approximately 80 nucleotides in length. The record is from Rfam by way of RNAcentral. Lineage: Eukaryota; Viridiplantae; Streptophyta; Lycopodiopsida; Selaginellales; Selaginellaceae.
GUGGAUGUAGCUCAGUUGGUAGAGCGCUCGCUUAGCAUGUGAAAGGCACCGGGAUUGAUACCUAGCAUCUCCA